CUGCCUGAGAAAAUUACCUUAUAACUACACAUGAGAAAUUGCUGGAAUGUCAGCUUCAUUUGCAGUGGCCCCUUAUGGCCUGAUCACCCUCCCUGGCACGAUAAAUCACUGGCAAGAUCCUUACCUUAACAUGUUUGAUCUCAGCUCAGCAAGACUUGGUUUUGAUGUGAAGAACUCCAGAUCUGUUAGGUCAGAGACAAAUAGCAGAGCCACUGACCUGCAAAGUGCUAAGUCUAUAUUAGACCCAAGUGAGCAGCCUUAAGCUCCUGAAAAGUUUGCCUUCACUUCUACUUUGCAUGCUGAAGCUUUUCAAAUAUUACUGCUAGCAUGUUUUGUUAAUGAUGCCAGAGACAUUUCCUUUUGUGCCGUUCUGCAUGUACAGAAGCCACAAAAAGCAUGUGGUGUGAGAAGCAUUAUCUUGGAUAAACUGUUAGAAUUAUCUACACUUUAAAGAGACAUGAAAUAAACCUCAUUAUUUAUUGGUUUCUUUACUUAAUUUACACAAAUGGCUUGCACUGGCCUUUUUCUUACUAGACCAUGCCUACUGAUAUCAUAAAUAACGAUAUUCACCAGUACAUCCAUUAAGAUGAUGCAAAGUGCCUGUGUGUACAUACAGACAUUCAAACUACUCCUAAAAACAAAAAAACUCAGCUUGUGACAUUUACAUUCAAAGUCUGAACUUUCACAAAGAACAGUUUUGUGGCCACUCAGUUUUGCAGCCUUGGUUUGAAAGUAUUACUUAUUGUCCUGGUUAAACAGUCACUUAUCUCCACGAUAGUAAGCAGGAGUGUUAGUCUACCAGAAAAUUGGAUGUUCUUAAUGGGCUUUGGGGGAGAAUAGCUCUGCAUCAUCAGCAUUAAGUUAAAUCACAUUAAGUACCCACUUACAACACAGGGAUUACCACUUAUGACAUCUUUGGUGAAAGCCUUUAAAACAAAUUGUUGUGUUUGUUAGAAGAAGCUGUGAGAGAACAAUUCCCAGAAGUCUGAUCUAUAAAUUCCUUCUGCUCUUCAAGAAGAGCAGCAAAGGAACCCAACACCUCUCAUUCAAUGCUGCAAUGAAAUCUCUCAGGUUGGAAAUUCUUUUCAAUAAAACAUCUUGAAAAAUACUAAUUUACUUACUUUAGAAUAUUCUUCUGGAGAGAAGAAACCAUCAGACUACCUUUCCUCAGAGUGCAGUUCUAAUUUCUCCUCCAGUUCCUUCUGUUGAUUAAGUCAUUGCCUUUUACACGUACAAAACUGGAAUAGGUCAUUCUGCUUUUUAUUAUUCAUAAGGCUGAUUGGGGAGAACUGGGUUUAAACUGUCAAAGUAUCCUGCUGUGCUUGGAUACCUGACAGAUUUACACCUCAAAGUACACUGUGGUACUAAGACUAAACUGGAUGAGGAGUGUUCUUGCAAGAGCUGAUUACAGUCUCAAUCAAAUAGAACACCUGACGUUAUAACAAAAUAAUGCCAAUGUUUGAUAGACUUUAAUUUUUUUGUAUAUGACCAGCAAGUUAUAUUGUAUAGAGAUGAAGGCCUGCAUGAAAAAUGAGCUCUUAUAUUUAACUUUAAAUAGAAACAGACUAAUGACUUUGAGUAUGUAAAUGAAAAAUAUGGCCCUAGACUUCUGCCAAACAUGCAGUAUUAAAGAAGUAGAUUAGGGCAAACCCCAAUACAUGGUUAUACUGAGCUCUCCUUAAAUGAGCAAAGCAUGCUGUAAAAGUCUUGUGAAUAAAGAGCCUUCUUUAAAAAACUUGAAUACUCAUAUAUGCAGUCCUGAAAUCCACUCUCCCCAUUUCCUUUAAAAUUUACGUUUCUUUUCCCCUUUUUAACCAAACUCCAUUUUUCUCUGCUGGAUCCCCCUGUAAUGAUGACAGAGUAUGGGCAAACCUCGUUAGUUUCCCUGCUGUCUGCAAGACAGGAUUUAUGCUUGUAGUGAACACAAUGACACAUGAUCACUAAAUAGCUAAAAUCACUAUCAAGACUUAAAUCUGAGACAUUUUUCACCCAGACAUUGCCAGUACUAUUGGUAUGCAAUGGUAUGGAGCCCAGUAUUAAUUACAGCAAACAUGUCUCCCAGUGUCCCACUUCUGCAAGGAGCACACCAGUGACAGCUGUUUGUGAAGGUUCAUGGCAUGCAGCCUUUGGCAGGUACCUGGUGUAAGGUAGAAGGUAUGUUAGGUAUGUUGCCAAUCCAAUCCAGUGAGUAAUAACUAACUUCCCAUGGGACCUGGCUGAAGUCAAAUAUUGCUAUUCCUGGAUCAUUGCUUUUAGUCUCCCUAAAGACCAUUUAGGCAAACAGCUGGAAGAGCUGACUAAAAGGGUUCCCAGUCACAGGGAACCACUUGGGGAAAGCAGGUAAAGGCUUCUAACCAGGAAACAAGUUAUCAAAGGAUUUGUCCUGUUGCUCCCUCAAGGAAAGAAAUGAACUGAGACAGAGAGCAAGAACAUGAAAACAUUGGUGUUGGAACACACGCAGAAUCCAGACAUUAAAAGCAAUUGCCUUGGGUGAUGGGAGGAAGAGGUGUGCUGCACCAGUCAGUGGGCAUGUUCUGCACUGGGCUCCUGCUUGGCAUCUAAAUAGGAGGGCUUUCCUUCUCCCUCAUGCUGGAGUGCCUUACAAGAACAAAACCUUUGAGACAUGAAUAGAAGCAAUACCAGAACUUGAGUUCCAGUACUGUCACUGCUUUGCACUGAUGGAAUGUUCCUCUUCCUAAAGAGAAGUACAGAGGGGAACAACAUCACCAGCUUCAGCUCCAUCUGAACUCAUUAUGCAGAUCUUGCAGCAAGGAGGGCACUGCCUCCCUGACAACACUCAGAGGAACAGCAAGAGAGACAACUCCUGAUGAAGUGACACAGAAAGAGAGCAAAGAACAAAAGGAAGGGGUCUCUUCAUCGAUGCUGUGUGUGUGUAUAGUGAGUACACAGAGAAGUGUGCAGUUAAUAACAUACAGAAAUCAGACAUGCAUCCACAGGUAAACACCAGCUCCAAAAUUCAUCUGUAUUGCCAUUUCCCAGAAUACCAUGUACAAAAAUAGAAGCUUGAUCUUCUGGUAGUCUGGCUGGUUUAGCAAGAGAUCCUGCCUCUGACACUGACCUACUGUCUGAGUUAGUCAUGGUUACACUCCCACAAAUUUAAACUCCCCCAUCUGUGAAGGAACCUUGUCACAGUUUUACAGUGAGGCUGAAUCAAUUAAUGCCUUCUGAAAGAUGUGAUGGAGCAAAAUAUUAACACUAGCAGUUGAGUGAUACCAGCUAAAAACAUCUUAAGUAAUGUAACAAAUGGAUUUAAAAACCACUAUCAAAGGAUUGGACCACCAAGACUUCUAGGCCAUCAUCAGCAUAGCUACAGCACAUUUAGUGUUAUAUCACUGUUUCAAAUUAAUACUGAAAAAAGCAGAGCUUGAUUUUCACCUCUCAGGAAAACAGAUCCAAUAAACAUCACAAAAGAGAAGAGACCGUUAAGUAGCUGGGGUAAAGAGAGUGCAAUAAGGACAAAAAGAGGAAGACCAACAAAAUGUCAGGGACUGGUGGAAAAGGAGGUAAAGGCUUAACCAGAUAUCCUGAAAAACAACUGUGCUUGUUUCUCAAGGUCUGUGCAAGCCAUUCUGGUACAGGACUGCUGCCACAGUGUGUAACAACUGAAGCAACUGGAAAAAACAAAAAGUUCCUUGUUUUGGAAGGUGGGAAAGUGGAUCCAGGAUAAAAGUCCUGCCCAAGACAAAACUCCAAGCUGAAGACUCCAAUUAUCUAUAAAUCACUUGAAUUUCCUGCAGAGAAAGAGAAAAAGGAGGAAAGAGCGAGGCAGACAGAAAAACAGAGACAGAGGAUAUGCCAAGUGAAACAUUUGAUACCUGUCCUAAACCAAAAUUUUCUCAAAAGCAACCAGGAGUUACCUGAUAUCCAAGCUUAGAAGAAACACGUUGCUGUUGCUUCUGGCUUAAUAUUGAAAUUAAAUAGCUUUCUUUUAAUUGUUCCAUUAGUAUAAAAUGUGUAACAUUUUAGAUCUGAGAUGAUGGAAUUAUGUAUUGAUUUAUUUAAGGUCACUGUACAUUCUCACAGACAGAAAGCUAGGAUUGCUGAUGACUGCUGUCCUUUUCAAAGGUUUUUAGAAACAAUUCUCCAGUUUUAGAAGACAGAAAUGCAAGUACAUUUAUGAUGCAAACUGGCUGUGACACUACUCUCAAGUAUUUCCCAUGAAACCCUCCUGAAGCACAGUUCACACUGAAACCAGCAAUGAACAAAAUUCAUGCCAAAUACUCUUUGCACAGUAUGAUUGCUCCCGAGGUGCAGAACAACACAGCAUCCAAUAAUUGCAUUCCUUGCUUAUUUAACUAUUUAAAAAGAAUUUAUGAGCAAGAAACCAUAUGCAUUUUUAGAUUUGCAUACUGCAGUUUGCAUUAAAAUGCAAUGGAAUUUAAAAUAGUUGACUUUCCUCUGAAACAUUCUUCUAGAACAAGGAAUUGCUGUAACAAAUUAGAAGACAAAUUAAUUUUGGCACUCACUGAAAAAAAGAGAAAAGAUGAAAAGCUUUUAAAGUGAUGAUAUGGAAGAAAAAAAUUACACUACAUCGGCCAAAAUGAGUCUCCUAUCAGCAUUAAAGCUCCUGAAGUUGUAUUUCCAGUAGAUAAAAAUGUUAUCACCUUU
Molecule: long non-coding RNA, 4629 nt
Organism: Serinus canaria (Common canary)
Lineage: Eukaryota; Metazoa; Chordata; Aves; Passeriformes; Fringillidae
Exons: 2
Source: RefSeq, a predicted model, not a curated record